AGACACUGAGCAGAGGGCAAAUGGCAUGAAGUGAUGAUGGUGAGGGAGGGGAUGAGUCCCAUGGGCUCUACUCUGAGUGUAAUGAGAAGCCUUUGAAUGGUUAAUCAACUUUGUAACAUAAUCCAGUUUCCACAAUAGGAACUUUUCAUGCAAUGUGAGGAAUGAAUUGUGAGGGGAAGAAUGGAAGAGGAGACCACAAAGAAGCAGUUGCAAGAGUCCAAGUCGGAAAUACUGGCAUCAAGGACCUGAAUGAUAACAGAGGAAAUGGGGAGUAGAGGACAAAAUGAGAUUUGCCUUUGAGGAUUUUCCCCCACUAUGCAGAAAUGCGAGGAAAUGGGACUCUAGAGAUGCAAGUUGUGAUAAAGGAAAAAGGCCAAGAUGAAAGAAAUACAGCACAGUUUCUAAAAAAAGAAACUGUGGUUACCUUAUGUGGCCCAGGGAAGCAAGUUGGACCUUGGUAUCUGAUGGCAGGAAAGUACCAAUAACAAAAGAAAGAAGAAGCACAGAAGAGUUCCCAGGAGAAAGAGUUCUGCUUCUCAAUUUUGCUCACUCUGCCUCUCUGUUAUUCUUGUAAAAGGGUGGCAUUUGUUGUAAGGGGGACCUGUGAAGGGAUUACGGAUGGCUAAAAGAAGAAGAUCCCACGAGUGGAAAAAUACUGAAAAGUGUCGUAGUGUAGGUGAAGAAACUCAAGUGAAAUUACUCAGAGCAGAUCACAAAUAUUUUAGACCAUAUAAUGCACUCAGCAUUGUUCCUAGAGCAUCAUAAACACUCAAUGUAAGUUUCACUUCUCCUUCCUCUCCUUUUCCUCCUCUCUCUUCUGCCCCUUCCUUCUUUUUUUUCUUUCCUUUCUUCUUCCUCUUCUCCUCCUUUUCCUUCUUACUGCUGUUGUUGUUACUUAUUUUCAUUAUUUCUCCUUCCUUUACUUCCCAUCCUGACAAUAGAGAUCCUACCCAACCAUUCAGUUAACUUCACUAGUAUUUGAGUUCUACCUCCUUCAUUAAGCUUUCUCCGGCUAAUCCUAACCUGCAUUGACCUCCCAUUUGGGGAUUAAUAUCUGGUUUCACACUGUCUUAAAUUGUUCCUUGUUACUCCAAUUAUUAUUUAAUCUUGUCAGAUGAAUAAAGUGACAAAUACUUUGAAGGCUGAAA
RNAcentral lists this long non-coding RNA (1148 nucleotides) under Homo sapiens (human). RNAcentral describes it as "HSALNT0188013". Lineage: Eukaryota; Metazoa; Chordata; Mammalia; Primates; Hominidae. The record is from RNAcentral.